This 169-nucleotide small RNA is filed under the name Chrysemys picta bellii (western painted turtle). Its description in RNAcentral is "TUC338 (ENSCPBG00000008000.1)". The record is from RNAcentral. Lineage: Eukaryota; Metazoa; Chordata; Testudines; Emydidae.
CGUAUAGCCCUGAAGAUUCAAGUCCUGUUUAUCCACAGAGGCAGGUGCAGCAUGGGCAGCUGCAGUGAAACUGUCUCCCCGCUGCACUGCCUUACUCCUCGUCUGGAGAGGGCACCUCCAGGAAUGAGAGGGAAGAUCAGUCUCCAUGCCCAUUCAUUCUUUGGCCUCU